RNAcentral lists this ribosomal RNA (253 nucleotides) under uncultured bacterium. RNAcentral describes it as "partial 16S ribosomal RNA". It matches the Rfam family "Bacterial small subunit ribosomal RNA", at positions 524 to 776 of the family's 1533-position model. The record is from RNAcentral.
UACGUAGGGUGCAAGCGUUGUCCGGAAUUAUUGGGCGUAAAGAGCUCGUAGGCGGUCUGUCGCGUCGGCUGUGAAAACCCGGAGCUCAACUCCGGGCCUGCAGUCGAUACGGGCAGACUGGAGUUCGGCAGGGGAGACUGGAAUUCCUGGUGUAGCGGUGAAAUGGGCAGAUAUCAGGAGGAACACCGGUGGCGAAGGCGGGUCUCUGGGCCGAUACUGACGCUGAGGAGCGAAAGCGUGGGGAGCAAACAGG